Molecule: ribosomal RNA, 401 nt
Filed under: uncultured bacterium
Lineage: Bacteria
Description: bacterial SSU rRNA
Rfam family: Bacterial small subunit ribosomal RNA
Source: RNAcentral
UAAGGAAUCUUCCACAAUGGACGAAAGUCUGAUGGAGCAACGCCGCGUGCAGGAUGACGGCCUUCGGGUUGUAAACUGCUUUUAUAUGGGAAGAUUAUGACGGUACCAUAUGAAUAAGGACCGGCUAACUACGUGCCAGCAGCCGCGGUAAUACGUAGGGUCCAAGCGUUAUCCGGAAUCACUGGGCGUAAAGCGUGCGUAGGCGGGAGUUUAAGUGAGAAAUUAAAUCGUGUGGCUCAACCAUAUCGAUGUUUCUCAUACUGGACGCCUAGAGGAAGGCAGAGGCAAGUGGAAUUAGUAGUGUAGCAGUGAAAUGCGUAGAGAUUACUAGGAACACCAAUGGCGAAGGCAGCUUGCUGGGCCUUUUCUGACGCUGAGGUACGAAAGCGUGGGGAGCGAAC